GCGGGGCUUCAGCUUGUAUACAUCAUACUUAAAUUUUAUUGGACGUUACGUUUGAGGUUAAGGACACUUAAUUUUAAAACAUCACAUGAAAAAUAUUCUCACAUGUUUCCUCACCUGUAAAAAUACAAUAAUUGGUCAAUGAAAGAAAAAUAUAAACUUAAUAUUGUUUUUUUUUUUAUAACAUAUCAAUCUAUUAGUUCAGUUGUUUCCGUGUCU
Molecule: long non-coding RNA, 216 nt
Filed under: Mytilus galloprovincialis (Mediterranean mussel)
Lineage: Eukaryota; Metazoa; Mollusca; Bivalvia; Mytilida; Mytilidae
Source: RNAcentral